UCUGGUUUUUCUACAGAUCAUAUAAAUCUUUUGCCUUUUACUAAUGAUUUCUGUGGAGAGGAACAUUAAAGA
RNAcentral lists this small nuclear RNA (72 nucleotides) under Salvator merianae (Argentine black and white tegu). Its description in RNAcentral is "U5 spliceosomal RNA (ENSSMRG00000012459.1)". It matches the Rfam family "U5 spliceosomal RNA", at positions 5 to 76 of the family's 117-position model. Rfam says of the family: U5 RNA is a component of both types of known spliceosome. The precise function of this molecule is unknown, though it is known that the 5' loop is required for splice site selection and p220 binding, and that both the 3' stem-loop and the Sm site are important for Sm protein binding and cap methylation. Lineage: Eukaryota; Metazoa; Chordata; Lepidosauria; Squamata; Teiidae. The record is from RNAcentral.